CUGAGAGGAGCUUGCUUUUCUUAGCUUAGUGGCGAACGGGUGAGUAACGCGUGAGUAACCUGCCCUGGAGUGGGGGACAACAGUUGGAAACGACUGCUAAUACCGCAUAAGCCCACGGCCCGGCAUCGGGCUGAGGGAAAAGGAUUUAUUCGCUUUGAGAUGGCCUCGCGUCCGAUUAGCUAGUUGGUGAGGUAAUGGCCCACCAAGGCGACGAUCAGUAGCCGGCCUGAGAGGGUGAACGGCCACAUUGGGACUGAGACACGGCCCAGACUCC
RNAcentral lists this ribosomal RNA (274 nucleotides) under uncultured Oscillospiraceae bacterium. Its description in RNAcentral is "partial 16S ribosomal RNA". It matches the Rfam family "Bacterial small subunit ribosomal RNA", at positions 69 to 339 of the family's 1533-position model. Lineage: Bacteria; Bacillati; Bacillota; Clostridia; Eubacteriales; Oscillospiraceae. The record is from RNAcentral.